GAAAUAUUAUUAAUUAAGCUGCUAACUUAAAUUAUUAACGAUUAAAAUUCGUUUAUAUUUCU
Molecule: transfer RNA, 62 nt
Filed under: Arge similis
Lineage: Eukaryota; Metazoa; Arthropoda; Insecta; Hymenoptera; Argidae
Description: tRNA-Ser
Source: RNAcentral